UACGAAGGGGGCUAGCGUUGCUCGGAAUCACUGGGCGGAAAGGGCGCGUAGGCGGCCAUUCAAGUCAGGGGUGAAAGCCUGUGGCUCAACCACAGAAUUGCCUUUGAUACUGUUUGGCUAGAGACCGGAAGAGGUAAGUGGAACUGCGAGUGUAGAGGUGAAAUUCGUAGAUAUUCGCAAGAACACCAGUGGCGAAGGCGGCUUACUGGUCCGGUUCUGACGCUGAGGCGCGAAAGCGUGGGGAGCAAACAGG
RNAcentral lists this ribosomal RNA (253 nucleotides) under uncultured bacterium. RNAcentral describes it as "partial 16S ribosomal RNA". It matches the Rfam family "Bacterial small subunit ribosomal RNA", at positions 524 to 776 of the family's 1533-position model. The record is from RNAcentral.